This 482-nucleotide ribosomal RNA is filed under the name uncultured bacterium. RNAcentral describes it as "bacterial SSU rRNA". It matches the Rfam family "Bacterial small subunit ribosomal RNA", at positions 29 to 506 of the family's 1533-position model. The record is from RNAcentral.
ACGAACGCUGGCGGCGUGCCUAACACAUGCAAGUCGAACGGGGAUAGAUAGCUUGCUAUUUAUUCUAGUGGCGCACGGGUGAGUAAUGCAUCGGAACGUACCCAGUCGUGGGGGAUAACUACGCGAAAGCGUAGCUAAUACCGCAUACGCCCUGAGGGGGAAAGCGGGGGACCUUCGGGCCUCGCGCGAUUGGAGCGGCUGAUGUCGGAUUAGCUAGUUGGUGGGGUAAAGGCCUACCAAGGCGACGAUCCGUAGCUGGUCUGGGAGGAUGAUCAGCCACACUGGGACUGAGACACGGCCCAGACUCCUACGGGAGGCAGCAGUGGGGAAUUUUGGACAAUGGGCGCAAGCCUGAUCCAGCCAUGCCGCGUGAGUGAAGAAGGCCUUCGGGUUGUAAAGCUCUUUCAGACGGAAAGAAAUCGGGCGCGUGAAUAGCGUGCCUGGAUGACGGUACUGUCAGAAGAAGCACCGGCUAACUACGU